Molecule: ribosomal RNA, 403 nt
Filed under: uncultured bacterium
Lineage: Bacteria
Description: partial 16S ribosomal RNA
Rfam family: Bacterial small subunit ribosomal RNA
Source: RNAcentral
AUCGAACGCUGGCGGCAGGCCUAACACAUGCAAGUCGAGCGAGCGGCGGACGGGGGUGAAAUGUAUGGGGACUGCCCGACAGAGGGGGAUAACUACUGGAAACGGUAGCUAAUACCGCAUACUAUCGGAUAACCCAUAUGGGAUUAGCUAGUAGGUGAGGUAAUGGCUCACCUAGGCGACGAUACCUAGCUGGGCUGAGAGGAUGAUCAGCACAACUGGGAUUGAGACACGGCCCAGACCCCAAGGGGGGCAGAAGGGGGAAAUAUCGCCCACGGGGCGAAAGCCUGAGGAUGAAAUGCGGCGUGGAUGAAGAGGGCCCUAGGGUGGAAAAGUACUUUCAGUCGGGAGGCGUUACCGGAAGAAGAAGCAACGGCUAACUCCGUGCCAGCAGCCGCGGUAAUAC